GAUGAACGCUGGCGGCGUGCCUAAUACAUGCAAGUCGAGCGACCGGACGAGAAGCUUGCUUCUCUGAUGUUAGCGGCGGACGGGCGAGUAACACGUGGAUAACCUACCUAUCAGACUGGGAUAACUUCGGGAACCCGUAGCUAAUACCGAAUAAUAUUUUGAACCGCAUGGUUCCCAAGUGAAAGACGGUCAUGCUGUCUCUUAUAGAUGGAUCCGCGCUGCAUUCGCUAGUUGGUAAGGUAACGGCAUACCAAGGCAACGAUGCAUAGCCGACCUGAGAGGGUGGUCGGCCACACUGGAACUGAGACACGGUCCAGACUCCUACGGGAGGCAGCAGUAGGGAAUCGUCCGCAAUGGGCGAAAGCCUGACGUAGCAACGCCGAGUGAGUGAUGAAGGUCUUCUGAUCGUAAAACUCUGUUAUUAGGGAAGAACAUAUGUGUAAGUAACCGUGCACAUCUUGACGGUACCGAAUCAGAAAGCCACGGCUAACUACGUG
Molecule: ribosomal RNA, 497 nt
Filed under: uncultured bacterium
Lineage: Bacteria
Description: partial 16S ribosomal RNA
Rfam family: Bacterial small subunit ribosomal RNA
Source: RNAcentral